GCCCUUAGAGUUUGAUCAUGGCUCAGGACGAACGCUGGCGGCGCGCCUAACACAUGCAAGUCGAACGGAGCUGUUUUCUCUGAAGUUUUCGGAUGGAAGAGAGUUCAGCUUAGUGGCGAACGGGUGAGUAACACGUGAGCAACCUGCCUUUCAGUGGGGGACAACAUUUGGAAACGAAUGCUAAUACCGCAUAAGACCACAGUGUCGCAUGGCACAGGGGUCAAAGGAUUUAUCCGCUGAAAGAUGGGCUCGCGUCCGAUUAGCUAGAUGGUGAGGUAACGGCCCACCAUGGCGACGAUCGGUAGCCGGACUGAGAGGUUGAACGGCCACAUUGGGACUGAGACACGGCCCAGACUCCUACGGGAGGCAGCAGUGGGGAAUAUUGCACAAUGGGGGAAACCCUGAUGCAGCGACGCCGCGUGGAGGAAGAAGGUCUUCGGAUUGUAAACUCCUGUCCCAGGGGACGAUAAUGACGGUACCCUGGGAGGAAGCACCGGCUAACUACGUGCCAGCAGCCGCGGUAAAACGUAGGGUGCAAGCGUUGUCCGGAAUUACUGGGUGUAAAGGGAGCGCAGGCGGAUUGGCAAGUUGGGAGUGAAAUCUAUGGGCUCAACCCAUAAAUUGCUUUCAAAACUGUCAGUCUUGAGUGGUGUAGAGGUAGGCGGAAUUCCCGGUGUAGCGGUGGAAUGCGUAGAUAUCGGGAGGAACACCAGUGGCGAAACGGCCUACUGGGCACUAACUGACGCUGAGCUCGAAAGCAUGGGUAGCAAACAGGAUUAGAUACCCUGGUAGUCCAUGCCGUAAACGAUGAUUACUAUGUGUGGGAGGAUUGACCCCUUCCGUGCC
RNAcentral lists this ribosomal RNA (846 nucleotides) under uncultured Bacillota bacterium. RNAcentral's name for it is "bacterial SSU rRNA". It matches the Rfam family "Bacterial small subunit ribosomal RNA", at positions 1 to 847 of the family's 1533-position model. The record is from RNAcentral. Lineage: Bacteria; Bacillati; Bacillota.